AACGAACGCUGGCGGCAUGCCUAACACAUGCAAGUCGAACGAGACCUUCGGGUCUAGUGGCGCACGGGUGCGUCACGCGUGGGAACCUGCCCUUAGGUUCGGAAUAACUCCCCGACAGGGGUGCUAAUACCGGAUAAUGUCUUCGGACCAAAGAUUUAUCGCCCUUGGAUGGGCCCGCGUUGGAUUAGCUAGUUGGUAGGGUAAAAGCCUACCAAGGCGACGAUCCAUAGCUGGUCUGAGAGGAUGAUCAGCCACACUGGGACUGAGACACGGCCCAGACUCCUACGGGAGGCAGCAGUGGGGAAUAUUGGACAAUGGGCGAAAGCCUGAUCCAGCAAUGCCGCGUGAGUGAUGAAGGCCUUAGGGUUGUAAAGCUCUUUUACCCGGGAUGAUAAUGACAGUACCGGGAGAAUAAGCGCCGGCUAACUCCGUG
This 433-nucleotide ribosomal RNA is filed under the name uncultured bacterium. RNAcentral describes it as "partial 16S ribosomal RNA". It matches the Rfam family "Bacterial small subunit ribosomal RNA", at positions 29 to 507 of the family's 1533-position model. The record is from RNAcentral.